This 250-nucleotide ribosomal RNA is filed under the name uncultured bacterium. RNAcentral's name for it is "partial 16S ribosomal RNA". It matches the Rfam family "Bacterial small subunit ribosomal RNA", at positions 524 to 773 of the family's 1533-position model. The record is from RNAcentral.
UACGUAGGUGGCGAGCGUUGUCCGGAUUUAUUGGGUUUAAAGGGUGCGUAGGCGGCUUAUUAAGUCAGUGCUGAAAUACCCCGGCUUAACCGGGGGGGUGGCAUUGAUACUGAUGAGCUUGAGUACAGACGAGGUAGGCGGAAUUGACGGUGUAGCGGUGAAAUGCAUAGAUAUCGUCAAGAACACCGAUAGCGAAGGCAGCUUACUAGGCUGUAACUGACGCUGAUGCACGAAAGUGUGGGGAUCAAAC